UCCGCCUUGGAGGCGGCAGUCUCCCAUGAAAAAUCAACAUAGGAUGAGGGUUGCGCUCGUUGGCUGACUUAACAGUACACCUCAAGGCACGAGCUGACGACGACCGUGCAUCGCCUGUCUUUAGGUUCCUUGCGGCACUAACGCAUUUCUGCGAAAUUCCUAAGAUGUCAAGCCUGGGUGAGGUUCUUCGCUUAUCAUCGAAUUAAACCCCACGCUCCACCGCUUGUGUGGGUCCCCGUCUAUUCCUUUGAGUUUUAGCCUUGCGGCCGUACUUCUCAGGCGGCGUGCUUACCGCGUAAGCUUAGGGCACAGAGACCAAUUGAAAGUCCCUACACCGAGCACGCAUCGUUUAGGGCGUGGACUAC
This 365-nucleotide unclassified non-coding RNA is filed under the name uncultured bacterium. Its description in RNAcentral is "contains 16S-23S intergenic spacer region". The record is from RNAcentral.